GACGAACGCUGGCGGCGUGCUUAACACAUGCAAGUCGAACGGAAAGGCCCUGCUCUUGCUGGGCGCUCGAGUGGCGAACGGGUGAGUAACACGCGUGUAACCCGUACUUGUCUUUGGGAUAAAUCUUGGAAAAAGGGGCUAAUAUCGGAUAGGAGCUCUUGAUGCACGUGGGGGGAUGGUAAGAUUCGGCGGUUGGGGCUAGUCUCGCGGGUUAUCAGCUUGUUUGUGGGGUAGUGGCGUACAAAGCUUUUGAAGGGUAGGCGGCGUGGGAGGGUGACCAGCCACAUGAGGACUAAGAGACGGCCCAGACUGCUACGGGCGGCAGAAGUGGGGAAUAUUGCGCAAUGGGCGGAAGCCUGAUGCAGCAGCGCCGCGUGCGGAAUGACGGCCUUCGGGUGAUAAACCACUUUCGCCUGUGACGUGGCGUGAGUGACGGUAAUGGGUAAAAAAGCACCGGCUAACUACGUG
Molecule: ribosomal RNA, 468 nt
Filed under: uncultured bacterium
Lineage: Bacteria
Description: partial 16S ribosomal RNA
Rfam family: Bacterial small subunit ribosomal RNA
Source: RNAcentral